GAAAGGCAGAGGCUCAACCUCUGGACUGCGUUGGAUACUUCCGUGCUUGAGGACUGGAGGGGAGACUGGAAUUCACGGUGUAGCAGUGAAAUGCGUAGAUAUCGUGAGGAAGACCGGUGGCGAAGGCGAGUCUCUGGACAGAUCCUGACGCUGAGGCACGAAGGCUGGGGGAGCGAACAGGAUUAGAUACCCUGGUAGUCCCAGCAGUAAACGAUGUGAGCUUGAUGUGGGGGGAUUCGACCCCUUCCGUGUCGAAGCUAACGCGAUAAGCUCACCGCCUGAGGAGUACGGCCGCAAGGCUAAAACUCAAAGAAAUUGACGGGGACCCGCACAAGCGGUGGAGUAUGUGGCUUAAUUCGAUGCAACGCGAAGAACCUUACCUGGCCUUGACAUGCAUUGUGUCGUCGGUGAAAGCCGGCUAGUCCUGGAAACAGGACGCUUUGCACAGGUGCUGCAUGGCUGUCGUCAGCUCGUGUCGUGAGAUGUUGGGUUAAGUCCCGCAACGAGCGCAACCCUUGUGGUCAGUUACUAACCGGCUUAGCCGGAGGACUCUGGCCAGACUGCCCUGUCGAACGGGGAGGAAGGUGGGGACGACGUCAAGUCAGUAUGGCCCUUAUGGCCAGGGCUGCACACGUACUACAAUGCCCGGUACAAUGUGAACCGAAACCGCGAGGUGGAGGAAAUCGCUCUUGAAAACCGGGCCCAGUUCGGAUUGGAGUCUGCAACUCGACUCCAUGAAGUCGGAAUCGCUAGUAAUGGCG
This 761-nucleotide ribosomal RNA is filed under the name uncultured organism. RNAcentral's name for it is "bacterial SSU rRNA". It matches the Rfam family "Bacterial small subunit ribosomal RNA", at positions 596 to 1346 of the family's 1533-position model. The record is from RNAcentral.